UUUAAGUGAGUUUUGGAGCGGAGUUCUGCCAGGCCGGAUCUCGCCACACGGAUAAAGGCCUCGAGAGCCACCUGACACUCACCAGGAAACUGAGGCGGAGGCUGAAAGUGACCUGCCAGUGGUUUCCCAGAGGCCCUCAGCGAUGGGGAAGGAAGAUAAAGCCACGCAGUCCGCUGUCGCUGCCCCUGCCGGCAACGAACUAACUCCCAAGUUGCGGAGAGGAGGCCCGGGACCACAGCUGCCACUACGCGAUGAGGGUAACAGCAGUCGUUUAUGGAGAGCGUCCUCCCUGCUCAACACGAACUCAUUCAGCCCUCCAACCACCAGAUGAGGCUGGAACUGUUUCUCCCUUUUACAGCUGAAGAAAUGGAGACUCACAGAUGUGGCAGAACCAGGCCUGAAAGGUUUUGUCCCAGCCUUCCCUUUUUAACAGCCCUGCUCUGUCCCUCUCAGCAAAAAGUACCAGAAGGCCGAAUGUGUCUCCCCAACAGGAAGCCCGGGGAGACACAAAGCUACAAUGGCACUCUGGGUGUAAACAAUCAAAGAAAGGUUUGAAAAAGAGAGUGCUGAGUAAUCUAGUCCUUGAAAGAAGAUGGGAGGACAUUAGUCUAGAAGAGAGACCAGGCAUAGGUGCCAGAAAACAGGGUCUUCUCUCACCUCUUGGUCCCUCUGCCAGCGCUGUCCCAGGCAGACAUCCAGACGCUGGUGGAGAGCAGUUUGCUCUAAUUAGUGAAAGGGCUGUUGGGCAGGUCCUCAAAGCCACUCACCCCCUUUUAUUUUCCCCUUAAAAUCUCUAAUUGCCAAGAGAAGAUAAGAGACCUGGCUUUCCCAGGAUGGCCACUCCAAGCUCCCUCAUGUGCCCUCGCAGAUCCCAUCUUGGCACACAACUCUUGGCCACUACUGAGCAGAAGGCAAUCAAAGAGAGGAAGUUGAAUAGUGCGAAAAGGGCACAAACUGGCCUCACUGACCCCACCAGAGCUCUGUGACACUGUUCUCUCUCUUCCCCAUUCUGGGCUUGGAUUGGCUGGGGUGGAUUCUAUGAUCCCUUUCAGCCUUAAAAUUUUCACUGCUAUAGCAUCACACUUAACACAAGUGAUUUAGAUCCCUCGCCAGACCAUGAGUUCCAGGAAGGCAGAAACGACACCCAUUUCACUUCUGCCUUAUUCCCACUGACAAGCCUGUGAACUAACUCAUUGUAGGAACUUAAUAAAUGUGUGUUCAAUGAUG
Long non-coding RNA from Phyllostomus discolor (pale spear-nosed bat), 1227 nucleotides. RefSeq lists it as uncharacterized. The record is from RefSeq and is a predicted model, not a curated record. Lineage: Eukaryota; Metazoa; Chordata; Mammalia; Chiroptera; Phyllostomidae. The transcript is spliced from 2 exons.